GUGCCAGCAGCCGCGGUAAUACGGAGGAUGCGAGCGUUAUCCGGAUUUAUUGGGUUUAAAGGGUGCGUAGGCGGACGGCUAAGUCAGCGGUGAAAUAUCCCGGCUCAACCGGGAGGCUGCCGUUGAUACUGGCCGACUCGAGUCCAAACGGCGCCGGCGGAACAUGUAAUGUAGCGGUGAAAUGCAUAGAUAUUACAUAGAACACCGAUCGCGAAGGCAGCUGGCGAGGAUGGCACUGACGCUGAGGCACGAAGGCGUGGGGAUCGAACAGGAUUAGAUACCCUGGUAGUCCACGCAGUAAACGAUGAUGACUUGUUGUCGGCGACACAAUGCCGGUGACAAAGCGAAAGCGAUAAGUCAUCCACCUGGGGAGUACGAUCGCAAGGUUGAAACUCAAAGGAAUUGACGGGGGCCCGCACAAGCGGAGGAGCAUGUGGUUUAAUUCGAUGAUACGCGAGGAACCUUACCUAGACUCAAAUGCGGAACGGCAGGCGCGGAGACGCGCCCUUCCUUCGGGACGGACCGCAAGGUGCUGCAUGGUUGUCGUCAGCUCGUGCCGUGAGGUGUCAGGUUAAGUCCUAUAACGAGCGCAACCCCUACGUCCAGUUGCCAGCGGGCAAAGCCGGGGACUCUGGACGGACUGCCGGCGCAAGCCGAGAGGAAGGCGGGGAUGACGUCAAAUCAGCACGGCCCUUACGUCUAGGGCGACACACGUGCUACAAUGGCCGGUACAGAGGGCAGCCACGCCGCGAGGCGGAGCGAAUCUCGAAAGCCGGUCUCAGUUCGGAUCGGAGUCUGCAACCCGACUCCGUGAAGUUGGAUUCGCUAGUAAUCGCGCAUCAGCCAUGGCGCGGUGAAUACGUUCCCGGGCCUUGUACACACCGCCCGU
Molecule: ribosomal RNA, 889 nt
Filed under: uncultured bacterium
Lineage: Bacteria
Description: bacterial SSU rRNA
Rfam family: Bacterial small subunit ribosomal RNA
Source: RNAcentral